RNAcentral lists this ribosomal RNA (253 nucleotides) under uncultured bacterium. RNAcentral describes it as "partial 16S ribosomal RNA". It matches the Rfam family "Bacterial small subunit ribosomal RNA", at positions 524 to 776 of the family's 1533-position model. The record is from RNAcentral.
UACGGAGGGAGCUAGCGUUGUUCGGAAUUACUGGGUGUAAAGCGCGCGUAGGCGGCUUUGUAAGUUAGAGGUGAAAGCCCGGGGCUCAACCCCGGAACUGCCUUUAAGACUGCAUCGCUUGAAUCCGGGAGAGGUGAGUGGAAUUCCGAGUGUAGAGGUGAAAUUCGUAGAUAUUCGGAAGAACACCAGUGGCGAAGGCGGCUCACUGGACCGGUAUUGACGCUGAGGUGCGAAAGCGUGGGGAGCAAACAGG